This is a small nuclear RNA of Choloepus didactylus (southern two-toed sloth), 102 nucleotides long. The record is from RefSeq and is a predicted model, not a curated record. NCBI's taxonomy places the organism in Eukaryota, Metazoa, Chordata, Mammalia, Pilosa, Megalonychidae.
UUUCUUUGGCUGCAAAUAUAUUAAAAUUGGAAGGAAACAGAGAUUAGCAUGGUCCCUCUGCAAGGACAAAGCAGAAAUUUGUGUGAAGCAUUCUGUGUUUUU